Molecule: long non-coding RNA, 663 nt
Filed under: Cyanistes caeruleus (blue tit)
Lineage: Eukaryota; Metazoa; Chordata; Aves; Passeriformes; Paridae
Description: lncRNA (ENSCCEG00000018372.1)
Source: RNAcentral
AUGGUGACACUGAGUGCCAUGAGGAGCUUUUUUUAUCCAGACUUUCCCCAUCCUCAGGUUUUCAGGAAGGAUUUUCAUCUGUCAUUGUUUUCUGGCCCAGGAUGCACUGACAGCCCGAGAGGUCCUGCAGCCUCCAGCCCUGAAAGCAAACUGUACCUUUUAUUUCCUUUCAUUAUUGGAGAAAAAGAAUUGACCUCCUGGAACUUGUUUGAGCAGCACUGCUUCCCUCAGAGCAUUACUGAACGUUGCUUUAAAAGGGUGCAGCUGAUCCUACUGUCCUUGAACUCAAUAGACAUGGAUUGGCUAGGGAAAAACCCGAAGAAGCACUCCUCCAAGUCUCUACCCAUGGCUCUCCUGUGUCCCUGGAGCAUGCAGCAGCUAUGGAACAGACCCAUCUUCCCAGACUCUUCAGACUGAAAUUUCUAAUAGUGGCUAUUAAAGUUUUGUUUUCUUAAGAUCAUGUUGGAAUCCCACAGCCACCCUUUGGGCUCAAUUAAUAUUUUCUGCACUUGGAAUCGGGGACUCUGGCUGCUGGACAUGGACUCUGUCAGCAGAACAACAUCAAAUGCAUAAAACAAUGGGUGGAGACUGUUCCCUCCUGUCCUCAACAAUACAACAGCCAGAAGAAAUAAACCCCUCUGGGCUCAGGGAAUAAGAAUUGCU